UCUGGUUGAUCCUGCCAGUAGUCAUAUGCUUGUCUCAAAGAUUAAGCCAUGCAUGUCUAAGUAUAAGCAAUUAUACAGUGAAACUGCGAAUGGCUCAUUAAAUCAGUUAUCGUUUAUUUGAUAGUACCUUACUACUUGGAUAACCGUGGUAAUUCUAGAGCUAAUACAUGCUUAAAAUCCCGACUGUUUGGAAGGGAUGUAUUUAUUAGAUAAAAAAUCAAUGCCCUUUUGGGCUCUUUGAUGAUUCAUAAUAACUUUUCGAAUCGCAUGGCCUUGUGCUGGCGAUGGUUCAUUCAAAUUUCUGCCCUAUCAACUUUCGAUGGUAGGAUAGUGGCCUACCAUGGUUUCAACGGGUAACGGGGAAUUAGGGUUCGAUUCCGGAGAGGGAGCCUGAGAAACGGCUACCACAUCCAAGGAAGGCAGCAGGCGCGCAAAUUACCCAAUCCCGACACGGGGAGGUAGUGACAAUAAAUAACGAUACAGGGCCCUUUCGGGUCUUGUAAUUGGAAUGAGUACAAUGUAAAUACCUUAACGAGGAACAAUUGGAGGGCAAGUCUGGUGCCAGCAGCCGCGGUAAUUCCAGCUCCAAAAGCGUAUAUUAAAGUUGUUGCAGUUAAAAAGCUCGUAGUUGAACCUUGGGCUUGGUUGGCCGGUCCAUCUUUUUGAUGCGUACUGGACCCAACCGAGCCUUUCCUUCUGGCUAGCUCUUGUAGCGAACCAGGACUUUUACUUUGAAAAAAUUAGAGUGUUCAAAGCAGGCCUUUGCUCGAAUAUAUUAGCAUGGAAUAAUAGAAUAGGACGUUAUGGUUCGAUUUUGUUGGGUUCUAGGACCAUCGUAAUGAUUAAUAGGGACGCCGGGGGGUAUCAGUAUUCAGUAGUCAGAGGUGAAAUUCUUGGAUUUACUGGAGACUAACUACUGCGAAAGCAUUUACCAAGGACGUUUUCAUUAAUCAAGAACGAAAGUUAGGGGAUCGAAGAUGAUCAGAUACCGUCGUAGUCUUAACCAUAAACUAUGGCCGACUAGGGAGCCGGGGGACGGUCCUUUAUUGACGCAAUCGGCACCUUACUAAAAUUCAAAUUCUCGGGUCUUGAGGGAAUA
RNAcentral lists this ribosomal RNA (1099 nucleotides) under Lodderomyces elongisporus NRRL YB-4239. RNAcentral's name for it is "SSU rRNA". It matches the Rfam family "Eukaryotic small subunit ribosomal RNA", at positions 1 to 1125 of the family's 1831-position model. The record is from RNAcentral. Lineage: Eukaryota; Fungi; Ascomycota; Pichiomycetes; Serinales; Debaryomycetaceae.